AGUGAACGCUGGCGGUAGGCCUAACACAUGCAAGUCGAACGGCAGCACAGUAAGAGCUUGCUCUUACGGGUGGCGAGUGGCGGACGGGUGAGGAAUACAUCGGAAUCUACUUUUUCGUGGGGGAUAACGUAGGGAAACUUACGCUAAUACCGCAUACGACCUACGGGUGAAAGCAGGGGAUCUUCGGACCUUGCGCGAUUGAAUGAGCCGAUGUCGGAUUAGCUAGUUGGCGGGGUAAAGGCCCACCAAGGCGACGAUCCGUAGCUGGUCUGAGAGGAUGAUCAGCCACACUGGAACUGAGACACGGUCCAGACUACUACGGGAGGCAGCAGUGGGGAAUAUUGGACAAUGGGCGCAAGCCUGAUCCAGCCAUACCGCGUGGGUGAAGAAGGCCUUCGGGUUGUAAAGACCUUUUGUUGGGAAAGAAAAGCAGCAGGUUAAGACCCCGCUGUUCUGACGGUACCCAAAGAAUAAGCACCGGCUAACUUCGUG
RNAcentral lists this ribosomal RNA (492 nucleotides) under uncultured bacterium. RNAcentral describes it as "partial 16S ribosomal RNA". It matches the Rfam family "Bacterial small subunit ribosomal RNA", at positions 29 to 507 of the family's 1533-position model. The record is from RNAcentral.